CAAUAGCGUAUAUUUAAGUUGUUGCAGUUAAAAAGCUCGUAGUUGGAUUUCGGAUGGGACUUGCCGGUCCGUCGUUUCGAUGUGCACUGGCCAGUCCUAUCUUGUUGUUGGGGACUAGCUCCUGGGCUUCACUGUCCGGGACUAGGAGCUGACGAGGUUACUUUGAGUAAAUUAGAGUGUUCAAAGCAAGCCUACGCUCUGAAUACAUUAGCAUGGAAUAACACGAUAGGACUCUGGCUUAUCUUGUUGGUCUGUGAGACCAGAGUAAUGAUUAAGAGGGACAGUCGGGGGCAUUCGUAUUUCAUUGUCAGAGGUGAAAUUCUUGGAUUUAUGAAAGACGAACUUCUGCGAAAGCAUUUGUCAAGGAUGUUUUCAUUAA
RNAcentral lists this ribosomal RNA (379 nucleotides) under uncultured eukaryote. RNAcentral describes it as "partial 18S ribosomal RNA". It matches the Rfam family "Eukaryotic small subunit ribosomal RNA", at positions 592 to 976 of the family's 1831-position model. The record is from RNAcentral.